RNAcentral lists this transfer RNA (72 nucleotides) under Halobacteriovorax sp. RNAcentral describes it as "tRNA-Phe". It matches the Rfam family "tRNA". From Rfam's summary of the family: Transfer RNA (tRNA) molecules are approximately 80 nucleotides in length. Lineage: Bacteria; Pseudomonadati; Bdellovibrionota; Bacteriovoracia; Bacteriovoracales; Halobacteriovoraceae. The record is from RNAcentral.
AUCCAAAUAGCUCAACUGGCAGAGCAAAGGACUGAAAAUCCUUGUGUAGUGGUUCAAUUCCACUUUUGGGUA